Molecule: small RNA, 473 nt
Filed under: Pongo abelii (Sumatran orangutan)
Lineage: Eukaryota; Metazoa; Chordata; Mammalia; Primates; Hominidae
Description: retained intron
Source: RNAcentral
CUCUUCGUUAAGUCCUCCUUCCCAACAUGGCGCAGUCUAUUAACAUCACGGAGCUGAAUCUGCCGCAGCUAGAAAUGCUCAAGAACCAGCUGGACCAGGAAGUGGAGUUCUUGUCCACGUCCAUUGCCCAGCUCAAAGUGGUACAGACCAAGUAUGUGGAAGCCAAGGACUGUCUGAACGUGCUGAACAAGAGCAACGAGGACGGCAUUUCGCUCUGUCGCCCAGGCUGGAGUGCAGUGGUGCGAUCUAGGCUUACUGCAACCUCCGCCUCCCGAGUUCAAGAGAUUCUGCCUCAGUCUCCCGAGUAGCUGGGACUGCAGGUACGCGCCACCACGACCGGCUAAUUUUUGUAUUAUUAGUAGAGAUGGGGUUUCACAUAUUGGCCAGGCUAGUCUCAAACUCCUGACCUCGUGAUCCGCCUGCCUCGGCCUCCCAAAGUGCUAGGAUUACAUUACAGGCGUGAGCCACUGCCC